RNAcentral lists this long non-coding RNA (303 nucleotides) under Nicotiana benthamiana. RNAcentral describes it as "long non-coding RNA (NBEN_LNC007066)". Lineage: Eukaryota; Viridiplantae; Streptophyta; Magnoliopsida; Solanales; Solanaceae. The record is from RNAcentral.
CAGACCCCACUUUGUGGGACUAUACUGGGUAGUUGUUGUUGUUGUUGAAUUGAAGAUACAUUACUACUGAACAGACCCUUAGACUUAAGACUACUAGAAUCCAAAAUGUAGAGUUCUCUAACUUCACCAAAAGCUUGUGGACUUUUCAUUGAAAGGCCCUGCAACACACACCUAAUAGAUGUGAAUAAGACAUCAUAUUUGAACUGAAUGCAAAACCUAUAAACUGACGGUAAGUUGUAUUUGAAAUCUGGAACAUGUAAGACAUUAUUUAGAACAUGACCUAGGAGAAUAGACACACUUCAU